RNAcentral lists this ribosomal RNA (585 nucleotides) under uncultured bacterium. RNAcentral describes it as "partial 16S ribosomal RNA". It matches the Rfam family "Bacterial small subunit ribosomal RNA", at positions 355 to 1375 of the family's 1533-position model. The record is from RNAcentral.
UGGGGAAUUUUGGACAAUGGGCGAAAGCCUGAUCCAGCAAUGCCGCGUGUGUGAAGAAGGCCUUCGGGUUGUAAAGCACUUUUGUCCGGAAAGAAAUCCUUGGCUCUAAUACAGUCGGGGGAUGACGGUACCGGAAGAAUAAGCACCGGCUAACUACGUGCCAGCAGCCGCGGUAAUACGUAGGGUGCAAGCGUUAAUCGGAAUUACUGGGCGUAAAGCGUGCGCAGGCGGUUUGCUAAGACCGAUGUGAAAUCCCCGGGCUCAACCUGGGAACUGCAUUGGUGACUGGCAGGCUAGAGUAUGGCAGAGGGGGGUAGAAUUCCACGUGUAGCAGUGAAAUGCGUAGAGAUGUGGAGGAAUACCGAUGGCGAAGGCAGCCCCCUGGGCCAAAUACUGACGCUCAUGCACGAAAGCGUGGGGAGCAAACAGGAUUAGAUACCCUGGUAGUCCACGCCCUAAACGAUGUCAACUAGUUGUUGGGGAUUCAUUUCCUAGUAACGUAGCUAACGCGUGAAGUUGACCGCCUGGGGAGUACGGUCGCAAGAUUAAAACUUAAAUGAAUUGACGAGGUCAUAGCUGUUUCCU